This 1260-nucleotide ribosomal RNA is filed under the name Husseyella turmalis. RNAcentral describes it as "SSU rRNA". It matches the Rfam family "Eukaryotic small subunit ribosomal RNA", at positions 1 to 1200 of the family's 1831-position model. Lineage: Eukaryota; Metazoa; Arthropoda; Insecta; Hemiptera; Veliidae. The record is from RNAcentral.
UAUCUGGUUGAUCCUGCCAGUAGUCAUAUGCUUGUCUCAAAGCUUAAGCCAUGCAAGUCUCAGUGCAAACUUAAUUAAAGUGAAACCGCAAAAAGCUCAUUAAAUCAGUUAUGGUUUACUGGCGCGAAUCCUCUUGUGGAUAACUGUGGUAAUUCUAGAGCUAAUACAUGCAUCAUAUGUCCCGUCCAGUGAUGGUAAGGACGCUUUUAUUAGGUCAAAACCAAUCGGUUCGGCUUGCCCGUUCCGUUUUGCUUUGACGACUCUGGGUAACACAUUAGAUCGCACGGUCCUCGUACCGGCGACGCACCUUUCAAAUGACUGACUUAUCAACUGUCGAUGGUAGACUCUAUGUCUACCAUGGUUGUAACGGGUAACGGGGAAUCAGGGUUCGAUUCCGGAGAGGGAGCCUGAGAAACUGCUACCACAUCCAAGGAAGGCAGCAGGCACGCAAAUUACCCACUCCCGGCACGGGGAGGUAGUGACAAAAAAUAACGAUACGGGACUCAUCCGAGGCCCCGUAAUCGGAAUGAGUACACUUUAAAUCCUUUAACCAGGAUCCAUUGGAGGGCAAGUCUGGUGCCAGCAGCCGCGGUAACUCCAGCUCCAAUAGCGUAUAUUAAAGUUGUUGCGGUUAAAAAGCUCGUAGUUGGUUCUGUGUGCCACGCUGUCGGUUCACCGCCUGCCGGUGCAACUGACAUGCCGUGGGAUGUCUUGCCGGAGGGGGCCGAAGCCCUUCCCUAGUGUUGGGCCCAGGUCUUCGCAAUGCUGCCAGGGUGCUCUUUACCGAGUGUCGGGGCAGGCCGGCAAGAUUACUUUGAACAAAUUAGAGUGCUUAAAGCGGGCCUAAUGUUGCCUAAAUAGUUGUGCAUGGAAUAAUGGAAUAGGACCUUGUUACUGUUUUGUUGGCUUUCGGUGAUCAAGGUAAUGAUCAAUGUGGACAGUCGGGGGCAUUCGUAUUGCGACGUUAGAGGUGAAAUUCUUGGAUCGUCGCAAGACGAACUAGAGCGAAAGCAUUUGCCAAGUAUGUCUUAGUUGAUCAAGAACGAAAGUUAGAGGUUCGAAGGCGAUCAGAUACCGCCCUAGUUCUAACCAUAAACGAUGUCAGCCAGCAAUCCGCCGAUGUUCCUCCGAUGACUCGGCGGGCAACUCCCGGGAAACCAAAGCUUUUGGGUUCCGGGGGAAGUAUGGUUGCAAAGCUGAAACUUAAAGGAAUUGACGGAAGGGCACCACCAGGAGUGGAGCCUGCGGCUUAAUUUGACU